This 310-nucleotide unclassified non-coding RNA is filed under the name uncultured fungus. Its description in RNAcentral is "sequence contains ITS1". The stretch from base 1 to 105 matches the Rfam family "5.8S ribosomal RNA", at positions 50 to 154 of the family's 154-position model. Lineage: Eukaryota; Fungi. The record is from RNAcentral.
GAAAUGCAAUAAGUAAUGUGAAUUGCAAAAUUCAGUGAAUCAUUGAAUUUUUGAACGCACAUUGCGCUCUCUGAUAUUUUAAGAAGCAUGUUUGUUCAAGCAUCAUUACUGCUCUUAAGCGCGACUUGUGUGUUGAGUCAUCGUCUCUCUUCUCAGAGAUGAGCUUGAAAGACAGUGACAACGUCGUGCUUGAUUCUUGAGCAUAUGAGACUUCGUCACUCGCUCAAAAGACUCAAUCAAUCGUUGUCAACUCUCUAUCAACUUCUCAUCAAUUGAUCUUAAAUCAAACAAAAAUACUUGCUGAACUUAA